This 720-nucleotide long non-coding RNA is filed under the name Felis catus (domestic cat). RNAcentral's name for it is "lncRNA (ENSFCAG00000050548.1)". The record is from RNAcentral. Lineage: Eukaryota; Metazoa; Chordata; Mammalia; Carnivora; Felidae.
CUAGAACCUCCAGAGGGCUCUUCCAGGGGCCUCCAGAGUGCUCCUACAAUACCUCUGCUCCAUCUGGGGUAAAGGAAGGUUGGCCAUCCCUAUCCUGGAACUGUCUUGCCCAGGGCCUGCAGGGGUAACCUGUUGGGUCUAGAAAGAGUUCCCCUCAACACCUGCAGAAAGGCUUGCAUUGGUAACACCGGCCCCUGCACCCAUCAUCCAUCACCUUUGCAAGCAGGAAACCAAUUUUCAUUUUGUUUAGGUCCUUUUGAUUUUUGUUUCCCUGCCUGACACCCUCAUCUAGUUUUAAACAUGCAGGACAUCAUCAUAUGAAGCACUCGAGAUAUAAAAAUAGAAAGGGGAAAAGGGGGGCGCUGAGCUGGGCUGGGGUGUCGAGCAAGAGAUGGUAGGAAAGGAAAACAGUCCUUUCUCUCUUAGCAACAGGAGGAAAGGUUCUCAGCUGAGACACGUGAAAAUUCUCUUGCAUCCAUGCAUUCUAAUAGAUUCCAGAGGCCUUCAGAAUCCUUUUCUCCAUCAAUACCACAUAGAAAGGAACAGGAACGUUUUGGUAUUCCCCUUUUGACAGACGAAGGAGGUGCUGAGAUGCCAGAGCCUGAACCUCCGUUUUUCAGUCUGACAGGCGAGAAUAGUAAUCCCAGCCCUGCCUUCUUCACAGAUGCCCUGAGAAUCAAAUGAGAUAAUGCAGAUGAAAGUGUUUUUCAAAGCACAAUG